RNAcentral lists this ribosomal RNA (164 nucleotides) under Alpinia nieuwenhuizii. Its description in RNAcentral is "5.8S ribosomal RNA". It matches the Rfam family "5.8S ribosomal RNA". Rfam says of the family: 5.8S ribosomal RNA (5.8S rRNA) is a component of the large subunit of the eukaryotic ribosome. The record is from RNAcentral. Lineage: Eukaryota; Viridiplantae; Streptophyta; Magnoliopsida; Zingiberales; Zingiberaceae.
CAAAUGACUCUCGGCAAUGGAUAUCUCGGCUCUUGCAUCGAUGAAGAACGUAGUGAAAUGCGAUACUUGGUGUGAAUUGCAGAAUCUCGUGAACCAUUGAGUCUUUGAACGCAAGUUGUGCCCGAGGCCUUCGGACCAAGGGCACGCCUGCUUGGGCGUCAUGG